CAAUAGCGUAUAUUAAAGUUGUUGCAGUUAAAAAGCUCGUAGUUGGAUUUCUGGUUGAAGCGACCGGUCGGGCGUUGAUUCGUCUGCACUGGAGUCGGUUUUGGCCAUCCUCUAGGAAAGUGCGUCUGGUAUUAAGUUAUCGGGCGUAUGAUCCUGGUCUUUUACUGUGAAAAAAUUAGAGUGUUUAAAGCAGGCCUUCGCCUUGAAUACAUUAGCAUGGAAUAAUAAGAUAGGACUUUGGUCUAUUUUGUUGGUUUGCAGACCGAAGUAAUGAUUAAUAGGGAUAGUUGGGGGUAUUUAUAUUCCGAUGUCAGAGGUGAAAUUCUUAGAUUUUCGGAAGAUAAACUUAUGCGAAAGCAUUUACCAAGGAUGUUUNCGUUAA
This 382-nucleotide ribosomal RNA is filed under the name uncultured eukaryote. RNAcentral's name for it is "partial 18S ribosomal RNA". It matches the Rfam family "Eukaryotic small subunit ribosomal RNA", at positions 592 to 976 of the family's 1831-position model. The record is from RNAcentral.